This 1720-nucleotide long non-coding RNA is filed under the name Homo sapiens (human). Its description in RNAcentral is "HSALNT0070742". Lineage: Eukaryota; Metazoa; Chordata; Mammalia; Primates; Hominidae. The record is from RNAcentral.
GAAGGGAUGGAGAGGUUUAUAGCAUUUUUCGUUCUCAAGAAAUACAUUCUAGAACAUUGAGAAAUCGAAUUUGUUGUGGAAUGAAAGAGUGAGUGGAAGCUUUGAAGAGAGGAAAAACAUAAGCAGGGCUCAAUCACUCUUGACACAGGUUCCAGUUUUACACCACAUCCAAGCGGCUCAAGCCAGUGGACGGAAACGAGAACUCAGAGUCAUCUCUCCUGCUUAGCCGACUUGACUGUCUGCUUUCCUGCUGCUUCCUGUAAGGCAAACGUUCGUAUUUGCUUACAAACUUAAAGUGACCCCCACCUUAUUCCCUUAUAUAUUUCUACCUAUUAUGUGCUUUUCUCUCUCUCUCUCUGCAUGACUCUUCAUUUCUGUCUGUGUGGCCUGAGGAUGAAGACAAAGGGCUGCCCUCUUGACGUGUGGUUCCCUCCUUGCCCAGGAUCUGUGGCUUAUGGAUUACAUUUUGAAUAAGAUUUCAGUGGGCUGAGAUGGAGGGUGGAUUUGGAAUGCAAUGGAACUGUUCCAAUCUGAGGAGACAAUAUGAACAGGGGUGCUGCAGUAAUAUGCUGUGGAAGUGAUCUACAAACAGUCACAAACUCUGGAUGAGAAAAAGGCAUAAGAUGAGAGGAGUGGGAAUUAAAGCUAGAAGUUGUGAGGGGAGCAGUGCUACAGCAAUGAGAACGCUUUAAAUCUUUGAAAAGGAUAAAACCCUAAAAGCUUAGACCACCUGACAAGGUGUGACAGCCUAAUCUUUGUGAGGUAUUUGAAGAGGUCACCACAGCUGUCUGAACUCGAAGAACUGUGACUCUCUCCCGUCCCUGAAACAAUCCCUGCUGAGUUCCAGGCAGCCAAGGGAGGUUCUGCUUAAAUGACUGCAUAAAAUCAUCCUUAGCAUAUGGGGCUUGAAAGUAAUGCUGCGUGUUGUCAGAUACCACCAGUUAUAACUGUCUCCAAGAGCAAAGGUAAGAGCGUGAGCUACGCCAUAUAUCGUGGCUUCUUUCUGGUCCUGUUGCCAUCAAGAUCCAUUCAGAGGCUCCUGGACAAAAUGGUUGACUUGAGUACCUUCAUCCUUGAGAAUGUGAAGCAGAUGAAAAUCAUUUCUUAAUUUGUGGUGGAGAAAGGGAGAGGCAAGGUCGGAGUGUCCAUUUAAACAAGACAGUCACUUAUGCCCUUCUGAGAGAUCAGCAAUCAAAUGGCUGUAUUAAAACUGACACACACUGUAUCCAAAAAGUAAAAUGAUACUUUUUAAGAAGAAAAACCAUCCCAAAAGUUAGGCAGAAUUAUGUCCUUGGCCUUCAGAAAAACACCGCAGCCAGGACAGAAUCGCUUCAUGUUCCUCUGCUCUUUUCUUCCCUGUGUUCUGCAUUAUUACUUGCUAAAUCAAUUGCAGCUGCUGACCUCGGUCCAGUGCAUUUAAGCCCUUUCUUGGGGCCUCUUUAGUGCCCUUUGAGAAUUUCACCCAUAACUCCUUCUCAGUUCCCUAAGCUGUCUUGACUUCUCUACCAGAAAAUUGUGAUUAUAUUUAUAACAGCAUUUUGAGAAUAUUUCACCAAACUGCUAACAAACCCUGUUUUAUACAACCAAUACAUGAUGCCUUCAAUGCCUUUUUCUCUGCAUGAUGGCCUAGAUUAAUGCACUAUAUAAUGUGUGUAAAUAUAGCCAUGUUUCUUCUUUAAAAGUCAUUAAGAGGGUUUUAAUAAACAUUGAAAUGAUCAAU